This 56-nucleotide unclassified non-coding RNA is filed under the name synthetic construct. The record is from RNAcentral.
GAGCCGAGCCGAGCCGAGCCGAGCCGAGCCGAGCCGAGCCGAGCCGAGCCGAGCCG